AAAUUGAAGAGUUUGAUCAUGGCUCAGAUUGAACGCUGGCGGCAGGCCUAACACAUGCAAGUCGAACGGUAACAGAAAGCAGCUUGCUGCUUUGCUGACGAGUGGCGGACGGGUGAGUAAUGUCUGGGAAACUGCCUGAUGGAGGGGGAUAACUACUGGAAACGGUAGCUAAUACCGCAUAACGUCGCAAGACCAAAGAGGGGGACCUUCGGGCCUCUUGCCAUCGGAUGUGCCCAGAUGGGAUUAGCUAGUAGGUGGGGUAACGGCUCACC
RNAcentral lists this ribosomal RNA (272 nucleotides) under Escherichia coli. Its description in RNAcentral is "partial 16S ribosomal RNA". It matches the Rfam family "Bacterial small subunit ribosomal RNA", at positions 1 to 269 of the family's 1533-position model. The record is from RNAcentral. Lineage: Bacteria; Pseudomonadati; Pseudomonadota; Gammaproteobacteria; Enterobacterales; Enterobacteriaceae. RNAcentral also lists the same sequence under 4 other names.